This 1687-nucleotide long non-coding RNA is filed under the name Homo sapiens (human). Its description in RNAcentral is "HSALNT0359374". The record is from RNAcentral. Lineage: Eukaryota; Metazoa; Chordata; Mammalia; Primates; Hominidae.
AAUCUAGCAUCCCUGUUAGCAGGCAAAGGCAGUAGGCCAGUUGUGGCAACUCCUAAUGAGUUUGGCCCAUCUCAGGGGUACUUUGUUUUUCAUACGCACCUUCCAACUACCAAAAAAUAUAUGCCUGUAUCCUAAGAAUAGAAAGUCAGGUACUAUAGCAGAUAAAGAGGAAUGAUAUUGGGGGUGGGCUCCUUUCCAGUAUCCUUCACUUCUCACAUGUGAAGGGGCUCUUGAUUGAGGCAUUUCCUGUUUAUGUUGGAGGAUUGAGCCUCAGGGGCAUGGAUGGGAUAUCCACAAAGAGCAGCUCUAUUCUGGCUGAUCCCAAGCUCAUUCAGGGUGACUCUCAAGGACUCUCUAAUACUGGAUGAAGAGCAGUGGUCCCCAACCUUCUUGGCACCUGGGUUUUGUGGGAGACAAUUUUUCCACAGACUGAGGCAAGAGGAUGGUUUUGGGAUGAUUCGAGUGCAUUACAUUUAUUGUGCACUUUAUUUCUAUUAUUAUUACAUUGUAAUAUAUAUUGAAAUAAUUAUACAACUCAUCAUAAUGUAGAGUCAAUGGGAGCCCUGAGCUUGCUUUUCUGCAACUAGAGAGUCCCAUCUGGGAGUGAUGGGAGACAGUGGCAGAUGAUCAGGCAUUAAAUUCUCAUGUGGGGUGCACAACCCAGAUUCCUCGCAUGCACAGUUCACAAUAGGAUUUGCGCUCCUAUGAGAAUCUAAUGCCACCUCUGAUCUGACAGGAGGCAGAGCUCAGGUGGUAAUGCAAGCAAUGGGGAGUGGCUGUAAAUACAGAUGAAGCUUCACUCACUUGCCCUCUGCGCAUCUCCUGCUGUGCAGCCUAGUUCCUAACAUGUCACAGACUGAGGUAGAGGACGCUUUAGAGAUAUUCCUACCUUCUCUGUCUUUUUUUUUUUUUUUUUUUGAGACAGAGCCUUGCUCUGUCACCCAGGCUGGAGUGCAGUGGCACAAUCUCAGCACACUGCAACCUCCGCCUUCCAGGUUUAAACAAUUCUUGUCCCUCAGCCUCCUGAAUAGCUGGACUACAGGUGUGUGCCACCACAUGCAGCUAAUUUUUUUUUUCUGCUUUGUGUUUUUUUUUAGUGGAGUUGGGGUUUCAUCAUGUUUCCCAGGCUGGUCUCAAACUUCUAAGCUCAGACAAUCUGCCUGCCUUGGCCUCCCGAAGUGUUGGAAUUACAGGUGUGAGCCACUGCACCCAGUACCCCUACAUUCUCUUUUUUAUAGAUGGGGAAACUGAGGCCCAGAGAGGGCAAGAUGUGCAUGCUCUGUCUGUUGUUUUGAUGAUGACUAUGUUAGGACAGAGGUCUACAGUUCCUUGAGGUGAUAAACAGCCUAUGAGCUAAGCGCUCUGUGGAUUAUUUACUCUUCACAACAGUUCUGUAAGACUGGACCGUAACAGUUCUAUAAAUAUGGACUAUUACUGUCCAUAUUUAAUAGACAAGGAAACUGAGAUUCAGAGAGGCAUAAUUUACAGAGGUGGUAAGUGGUGGAGCUGGGUUCAAAUCUAGGCCUGUUUAAAGAUCCCCCACACUGUGGGAAGAAUUCAGGCAUCAGAUAGAGAUCCCUCUAACAUCUCCAUUCUGUGAAUAACUGAGGCUGGGAUUCACAUAAGCCUCCAACCCCUGGGGUCCGUCUCCCAUGCCUCACCCAAGCGCACACAGGCCAGGCAGAUC